ACUGGGGCGCUACGGUUCCUGGAGCUGGGCAGUCUUCUCGUCAGAGUGGGGACUGGUAAGAGCGACCUCCCCGCCAGGUCCUGUGUGUUGCCGGCUGAAGAAGGAGCCUUGCUCCGUCCCCCAUGCUGGAGUGCAGUGGCAUGAUCUUGGCUCACUGCAACCUCCACCUCCCGGGUUCAAGUGAUUCUCCUGCCUCAGGCUCCCGAGUAGCUGGGAUUACAGGAUGAUGAUUAUUCCCCACCUUCUAAGAGACAAAGACCAACGAGCCACCACAGCCACCAGUCCCAGAACCCGCCAAUGCUGGGGAAUGGAAAAUGAGGGAGUUCAACUCUGGCCCUCACAAUCCAGUGGAGGAGACGAAACUCAUCUGCCUCUGUCCCUCUGGGCACACCUCAUGCCAGGUGCAUCUGUGGACAGGGGCCAUGCUCCUGGGCUUCCAAAGUUGGAGAAAGCUGCCAGGCUCAGACCCACCUAAGCUGAAGAUUCCCUUGAGAACAAGUACUGUCCUGUGGUUUCAUGGCCUUUCUUCCAUUUGUGGUUCUUGCGAAGUGGAAUUUAAAUGACAUCUUAUCAAGAUGGAUAAACCCUAGUUUCCCAGUGCUGGAAUAUAGAAAAUGGAUGGACAAGUAAAUCCCACUCAGUACCCAUAGGCCAGGCAUGGGGACCUCAACACACCUGAGCCCCAGACAUCACCUUUCAUUGUGAGUAGCUCUGAGAUGACACUUCUGCUGUUCCCAAUUCCAGCAUUAAUUGGAUUAGAUAGUUAUUUUAUGAAGAAUUUUCAUAUGCCACAAUCCUGACCGUAUCUUCAAGUGAACAGAAAAAUUCUAUUAAAAAGUCAACCUUCUGUCUCACUCUAUUGCCCAGACUGGAGUGCAGUGGUGCAAUUAUGGCUCACUGCAGUCUCAACCUCCUGGGCUCAAGCAAUCCUCCUGCCUCAGCCUCACAAGUAGCUGGGACUACAGGUGCUUGUCACCACACCUCACUAAUUUUCCCAUUUGUGUUACAUGUGGAUUCCACAGGACUGACUUCAAAAACUUGAGUAUGCGUGCAUUUUGGUAUACACAGAAAUGGGAGAGCUGGAACUAAUCCCCCCAUAUACCAAGGGACAAAUUGUAUCUGUUUUUACAAUUAUGCAGUAGGAGACAUUAUGUUCCAUGACAAUGGUAAUUUUUAAUGACAGUUUUUAAUUGAGUGAAAUUACCAUAAAAAUAAUAAUAGUAGUAGCUAAUAUUUACUGAGCUGUUACUAGGUGCCUAUAAAUAGCAUAGAUUUUUAAAUUCUCCAUAAUUCUUCCUUAUUUCACUUAACCACUCUAUCUUAAAUUACUCAUGCUUGCCUCAGUAGCACACAUACUUAAGUUGGAACAACAGAGAGAUUGGCACGGCCUCUGUGAAAGAAUGACAUGCAAAUUUGUGAAGCAUUCCAUAUUUUUUUAAAAAAAGAGAAAAAAUUUACUCCCAGAUUUUCACUGUGUUUGUGCAUAUAACCUUUUGUUUAGGUUGAAUUAUAUCCAAAGAUGAAAUUUCCAGAAGUGAGAUUACUGUGAGUCACAGGGCAUGAGCAUUCUUAUUACCCUUGAUGUAAAUUGCAAAGCUUUCAGGCAUGGUGGCUGUCAGCCUGUAAUUCCAGCACUUUGGGAGGCUGAGGUGGGAGGAUUGCUUGAGGCCAGGAGUUGGAGGAGGCAGUAUAAUGAGUCACUGUCUGUAUGAUUUAAAAAAAAUUUCCAAGCUUUAUGCUAGAAGGCUUAUAUACAUUUUAAACACCACUAAUACUACAAGAAAAUGGCCAUUUCACUGCACCUUUGCCCACACAGGUAUUAAAAUUUAACAAGUUAUUUUCUGUGUGAUAAAUGAAAGACCUCAUAUUAUUACUUUGUCACCCAUUCUUUUUUCUUUUUUGAGACGCAGUCUCACUCUGUCGACCAGGCUGGAGUGCAGUGGUGUGAUCUCGGCUCACUGCAACCUGUGCCUCCCAGGUUCAAGCGACUCUCCUGCCUCAGCCUUCUGAGUAGCUGGGAUUACAGGCACAUGCCACCAUGCCCGGCUAAUUUUUGUAUUUUUAGUAGAAACGUGGUUUCACCAUGUUGAUCAGGCUGGUCUCGAACUCCUGACCUCGUGAUCUACCCGCCUCGGCCUCCCAAAGUGCUUGAUUACAGCUGUGAGCCAUGCGCCCAGCCUAUUUGUCACAUAUUUUAUCUUUCCUUAUGUUAGCUUAUUAGCUUUAUUUCUUUAUUGUCCUUUUUUUUUUUUUUUUUGAGAUGAAGUCUCGCUCUGUCUCCUAGGCUUCAGUGUAGUGGCACAGUCUCAACUCACUGCAGCCUUGACCUCCUAGGCUCAGGUGAUCCUUCCACCUCAGUAGUUGGGACUAUAGGCACAUGCCACUAUGCCUGGCCAAUUAUUUUUAUUUUUUUAUUUUUACUAGAGACAAGGUCUUGCUUUGUUUCUUAGGCUGGUCUGGAACUCCUGGCCUCAAGCAAUCCCCCCACCACCCUCUCCCAAAGUACUGGUAUUAUA
This 2516-nucleotide long non-coding RNA is filed under the name Homo sapiens (human). Lineage: Eukaryota; Metazoa; Chordata; Mammalia; Primates; Hominidae. The record is from RNAcentral.